RNAcentral lists this ribosomal RNA (494 nucleotides) under uncultured bacterium. Its description in RNAcentral is "partial 16S ribosomal RNA". It matches the Rfam family "Bacterial small subunit ribosomal RNA", at positions 28 to 507 of the family's 1533-position model. The record is from RNAcentral.
GACGAACGCUGGCGGCGCGCUUAACACAUGCAAGUCGAACGGAAAGGCCUGCUUUCCCUUGUGGAUUGCGGGUACUCGAGUGGCGAACGGGUGAGUAACACGUGAGUGAUCUGCCCCCAACUUGGGUAUAAGCCUGGGAAACUGGGUCUAAUUCCCGAUAGGACUGCAGGGUGGUGCCUGUGGUGGAAAACGUUUUGCUAGUGGUUGGGGAUGAGCUCGCGGCCUAUCAGCUUGUUGGUGGGGUAAUGGCCUACCAAGGCGGCGACGGGUAGCCGGCCUGGGAGGGUGGACGGCCACAUUGGGACUGAGAUACGGCCCAGACUCCUACGGGAGGCAGCGGUGGGGAAUAUUGCACAAUGGGCGGAAGCCUGAUGCAGCGACGCCGCGUGGGGGAUGACGGCCUUCGGGUUGUAAACUCCUUUCGACCGCGAGGAAGCCACCUGGUUGGAAGGGUGGUGACGGUAGUGGUAGAAGAAGCACCGGCUAACUACGUG